UACGUAGGGGGCAAGCGUUGUCCGGAUUUAUUGGGCGUAAAGAGCGUGUAGGCGGCUAGGUAGGUCCGUUGUGAAAACUCGAGGCUCAACCUCGAGACGUCGAUGGAAACCAUCUAGCUAGAGUCCGGAAGAGGAGAGUGGAAUUCCUGGUGUAGCGGUGAAAUGCGCAGAUAUCAGGAAGAACACCCGUGGCGAAGGCGGCUCUCUGGUACGUGGCUGACGCUGAGACGCGAAAGCGUGGGGAGCGAACAGG
This 253-nucleotide ribosomal RNA is filed under the name uncultured bacterium. RNAcentral's name for it is "partial 16S ribosomal RNA". It matches the Rfam family "Bacterial small subunit ribosomal RNA", at positions 524 to 776 of the family's 1533-position model. The record is from RNAcentral.